GCUUUGGCAGGNCGCAUGGGCUUCGGCCUGGNCACCGGCCCUGGAGCUGGUGUGCGCCUGCCAGAGGACCCCCAAACUCUGGUUAUCUGUGUCGUCUGAGUACUAUACAAUCGUUAAAACUUUCAACAACGGAUCUCUUGGUUCUGGCAUCGAUGAAGAACGCAGCGAACUGCGAUAAGUAAUGCGAAUUGCAGAAUUCUACGAGUCAUCGAAUCUUUGAACGCACAUUGCACCCGCCAGUAUUCUGGCGGGUAUGCCUGUUCGAGCGUCAUUUCAACCCCUCAAGCCCUGGCUGCUUGGUGUUGGGGCGUAAUCUGCAGCGCUUUCACAGCUGCUGCAGGCCCCUAAUUUCAGUGGCGGACCCGCCGAGGCCCCGAGCGCAGUAGUGUAUCUCCUCGCUCCAGGGCGCCGCGGCGGGCUCUCCUGCCGUAAAAACCCCACUGUAUUUUAAGGUUGACCUCGGAUCAGGUAGGACUACCCGCUGA
Molecule: ribosomal RNA, 485 nt
Filed under: uncultured Ascomycota
Lineage: Eukaryota; Fungi; Ascomycota
Description: eukaryotic LSU rRNA
Rfam family: 5.8S ribosomal RNA (bases 118-271)
Source: RNAcentral